Molecule: long non-coding RNA, 1965 nt
Organism: Frankliniella occidentalis (western flower thrips)
Lineage: Eukaryota; Metazoa; Arthropoda; Insecta; Thysanoptera; Thripidae
Exons: 2
Source: RefSeq, a predicted model, not a curated record
CCUUGCGCGUCUCGAUGAGCUUCUUGUAAAACGCUGCUGACAUCUUAGGCGUGCGCGGUCGCUCCGGAUCCGCAAAGUCGACUUGAUACAAGCCGUACUUGUGCCUUUGAAAUGAAAAGAGGUCAGACCGUGUUUUGCGUCGACAAGAUCGGGAAUGAAGGGAAUUACUACUCACUCGUAACCAAAGAACCAUUCAUAGUUGUCCAUGAGACUCCAUGCCGUGUAUACUGCUACGUUGCACUUAUCUAUGUUUAUAGCUUUAAGCAGUUCGAGCAGGUGAAGCUGUGUUUCAGCGACCAAAAAGUAGAGGAAGAGGUUGACAUGUUAUGAAAGUGUCUAACCAAUGCCUUGACUGAAAACGAUUUAGUAAUGGUUUCAUACCCUGUAAGAGCGCACUCGAUUCGUAUCCAUUAGGCCCCCGUGGUCGGGGUAGCCCUGCUCAGUGACCAUGACUCUGGGAUUGCCGUACUGAUUUUUAAUCCAGUUUAAUUGCUUUCGGAAGCCUUCCGGAACCACCUAGGAUUCAAAGUAGACCGAUGAAUUUUAAGGAUUCCAAAUUAUACUCACUUUUGAUUGGCGCAUGUAAUUGUACCCUGAGCCAGUCCGCAAUCGUUUCCUCCCAGGACGGAUCGAAUGACGUCACGACUCCUGCAUCACCGGCUCUGGUUCCCGCUUUUGGUUUUUCUUCGUCCCCUGUCGGCUCGUGGGCAAGGCUCGACGUGUAGUAGUUGAGGCCGAAAAAGUCCGCCGAUCCUAAGAAAACAUUUUGGGUUACAAGUAUUUAGAAAUGGGCCGCUAAAAAGGGGAAGGGAUUAGUUGUGUUGCGCGUUUAAUUUGGCAGCCAGUUUGUAUUCCUUUCGCCCUUGUGCUCAGUGCCUGACAAUCGGUUCGUCAAUUACGUUUGCAGGCAACAAAUGUCGGCUAGGAGACGGAUAAAUUAAGACUUUAUGAUUUGAUUUAUGACAUGAGUAUGCUAUGUGAACAAAUAACGUAAUAAAUUACUUUUAUUUUUUUUAAACCCGCCUGUACCUUGUAUAAGUUUGAUUUCAGCUUCGGUGAACUCUGGGAGGCGAGACCUUUUCAAGCCUUGCUCGAGACUUGCUUUCUUUACUCUCUCCUUCAUGACUGCGGGGUAGUCCCCGUCUUUACUGAAGAUGGGAUGCGUGUACCAGCCGAGCUGCAACGAAUCACCAACCCUUUUUAGAGACAGCAGGACGGAAACAUCACUGGGGAGUACUCUGGAAAUAUGACGGUUGCUGUGACGACACAACCGAGAGGUAUAGUGAAAUAGACUCAGCCUUGUUUGUGCUUACAAAGCUCCAGAACUUACCGUGAAUUGCUGAAUGCGCUCGGCAGCUUCUACAUCACUUGGGUUCUUUGGAUCCUUGGGAUAGAAAUAGUUUGAGUUCGCUGCGAAGCCAACCUCACCUGCAAAGAUGCGUAAGUGUCAUUACGAACUUGACACUAAUGAAAACCCUCCCCAUCGAAUUAUCUUUUUUCGUUUUAUCGGCAAUGUCAACACCCACUGAGAGUAAUUUCUACGCAUAACCUUGGCUCUGUGGAUCCAAGGGUUCCCGAUCAAUGGCAGGCGCUAUAAGGGGUCUCCAUAGGGAGCCGCCUGGGAGGAGGUAGGCAAUUUGCGCCACACCACCCUUGUAUGUAGGCAAUCCACGGAGCCCCCCGGCCCUUGAUAGCCUUGUACCGCGCGUGAUCUACAGCAAUUUAAGUUUCCGGAAAACUUUCUUUGGGUGCUUUGGGCGCACGCACGCACUACAGAAUUCGACAGAAUUAUGAAGCUCCGCAGGGUGUACCAUUAUGCGGCCGUACCGAGUUGUGUCUCCUUAAAGUCUCUCUCGUACAGGCGGUAGGCGUACGCGUGCGACUUGAGGACGUUGUGCGCGCACAAGUAGUCGGCUCGACCGCUCCAAUGGAUCGCUGGUGCUUUGAUUGCAUCACCGUAGCCCU